This is a small nuclear RNA of Penaeus monodon (black tiger shrimp), 122 nucleotides long. RefSeq annotates it as U5 spliceosomal RNA. Lineage: Eukaryota; Metazoa; Arthropoda; Malacostraca; Decapoda; Penaeidae. The transcript has a single exon. The record is from RefSeq and is a predicted model, not a curated record.
UAACUCUGGUUUCCCUUCAAAAGCGCAUAAUCUUUCCGCCUUUUACUAAAGAUUUUCCGUGGAGGGGAACAACUCUAAAUGAGUCUUACUCAAUUUUUUUCUAUACCCACUUCGGUGGGUUC